CUGGUGGUCCGGUGGCUAAGACUCUGUGAUCCCAAUGCAGGGAGCACGGGAUCGAUACCUGGUUGGGGAAGUAAGAUCCUGCAUGUGUUGCAAUGUGGCCAAAAAAAAAAAAAAAGAAAGAAACUGCCUCCAGCAGCUGGAGUGGCUGGAGCUGGAAGGUCUCACUUGGUGAAGACAGCCAGGAAGCUGGGACCUCUCUUUUGGUUAUGGACCGUGCUGGGACGUCGCUUCAACACAGCCAACAGAGAGAGCUUCCCUUGUGGCUCAGACAGUAUAGAGUCUGCCUGCAAUGAAGGAAACCCAGGUUUGAUCCCUGGGUCAGGAAGAUCUCCUGGAGAAGGAAAUGGCAACCCGCUCCAGUGUUCUUGCCUGGAGAAUCCCAUGGACAGAAGAGCCUGGUGAGCUCCCCUUUGCACCUCUGCGGUAGACGGAGGACAGUGGUGUCUACCUCACUGUUGUUUCUUGUUUAUAACACUGCUUGGCCCAUAGGAAGUACAGAG
Molecule: long non-coding RNA, 500 nt
Filed under: Bos indicus x Bos taurus (hybrid cattle)
Lineage: Eukaryota; Metazoa; Chordata; Mammalia; Artiodactyla; Bovidae
Description: lncRNA (ENSBIXG00000010908.1)
Source: RNAcentral